Molecule: long non-coding RNA, 167 nt
Organism: Dermochelys coriacea (leatherback sea turtle)
Lineage: Eukaryota; Metazoa; Chordata; Testudines; Dermochelyidae
Exons: 3
Source: RefSeq, a predicted model, not a curated record
CUGGACACUCAAUAACAGACUUAAAUGUGGCAAUUCUUCAACAACAAAAAACUUCAACAACAGACUCCAAUGAGAAACUGCAGAACUGGAAUUAAUUUGCAAAGUGAACACCAUCAAAUUAUACCUAAAUAAAGACUGCGAGUGGACGGGACAUUACAAUUUUUUUU